Molecule: ribosomal RNA, 144 nt
Filed under: uncultured freshwater bacterium
Lineage: Bacteria
Description: partial 16S ribosomal RNA
Rfam family: Bacterial small subunit ribosomal RNA
Source: RNAcentral
CCUACGGGAGGCAGCAGUGGGGAAUCUUGCACAAUGGAGGAAACUCUGAUGCAGCGAUGCCGCGUGAGUGAAGAAGGCCUUUGGGUUGUAAAGCUCUUUUGUAGGGGAAGAUAAUGACUUACCCUAAGAUAAUCACGAACGUCG